This 74-nucleotide transfer RNA is filed under the name Nephroselmis olivacea. Its description in RNAcentral is "tRNA-Arg". It matches the Rfam family "tRNA". Rfam says of the family: Transfer RNA (tRNA) molecules are approximately 80 nucleotides in length. Lineage: Eukaryota; Viridiplantae; Chlorophyta; Nephroselmidophyceae; Nephroselmidales; Nephroselmidaceae. The record is from RNAcentral.
GCGUCUGUAGCUCAAUUGGAUAGAGCACCAGGCUUCGAAUCUGGGGGUUGGAAGUUCGAGUCUUUCCAGGCGUA